Molecule: ribosomal RNA, 119 nt
Filed under: Colwellia psychrerythraea
Lineage: Bacteria; Pseudomonadati; Pseudomonadota; Gammaproteobacteria; Alteromonadales; Colwelliaceae
Source: RNAcentral
UGCUUAGCGACAAUAGUGCUGUAGACCCACCUGAUCCCAUUCCGAACUCAGUAGUGAAACGCAGUAGCGCCGAUGGUAGUGUGGGAGUUCCCAUGUGAGAGUAGGACAUUGCUAAGCAU